CGGGCUUUAGCUAAGUGGUAGAGCUCCCACUUCGUAUGCGGGAAGACCCGGGUUCGUUUCGCGGAUGCUUAU
Molecule: transfer RNA, 72 nt
Filed under: Toxocara canis (dog roundworm)
Lineage: Eukaryota; Metazoa; Nematoda; Chromadorea; Rhabditida; Toxocaridae
Rfam family: tRNA
About the family: Transfer RNA (tRNA) molecules are approximately 80 nucleotides in length.
Source: Rfam by way of RNAcentral